UACGAAGGGGGCAAGCGUUGUUCGGAAUUACUGGGCGUAAAGGGCGCGUAGGCGGCUUAUCAAGUCAGGCGUGAAAUUCCCGGGCUCAACCUGGGGGCUGCGCUUGAUACUGAUUGGCUUGAAUGCGGGAGAGGAUAGUGGAAUUCCCAGUGUAGAGGUGAAAUUCGUAGAUAUUCGGAGGAACACCAGUGGCGAAGGCGGCUCACUGGCUCGAUACUGACGCUGAGGUGCGAAAGCGUGGGGAGCAAACAGG
This 253-nucleotide ribosomal RNA is filed under the name uncultured bacterium. RNAcentral describes it as "partial 16S ribosomal RNA". It matches the Rfam family "Bacterial small subunit ribosomal RNA", at positions 524 to 776 of the family's 1533-position model. The record is from RNAcentral.